RNAcentral lists this long non-coding RNA (4165 nucleotides) under Salvia miltiorrhiza (redroot sage). RNAcentral describes it as "long non-coding RNA (SMIL_LNC005399)". Lineage: Eukaryota; Viridiplantae; Streptophyta; Magnoliopsida; Lamiales; Lamiaceae. The record is from RNAcentral.
AAUGCUGUGACGCAAAUUAACAAAGUAACACAUGAUGAAAAUACAAAUUAAAGAAACAAUGUAAGCAAGUUAGAUAAAAAGAAAAGAAAAGCAGUAGAGAAUGAAUUUGGUUUAUAGAAUAUACAUGGAAGGUGCUCACAACUAGAGCCACCACCCCACCCUAUGAAGAAUUUUACAUUUCUCACCCUCAAACGUCAAACCCCACGCAACGCUCUUCUGGGGGAAAAAAAAUGAUAAACCACUGUCAACCAUCAACAAGAAUAUUAGAAGAGGUUAAACAACCAAAAAACAUUAGAAACCUUUCCUCCCAACCUCCAACCAUCACUAAUAACUCUUCAGAGACGUGAGGGGAGAACCGACACCCCCCCACCCCCAAAAAAAACGAAAAAGAAAAAAAAUCAUAUACAUACACAACGUGCACUGUUAAUGUCCCAAGUCCUCACUAGCUAUGCCAACACUUGACUUGUCAACCAUCCGCACAUUGUAUUGUUCGUAUACUCUUGCCCGGUUCUCUGCCCACCAUGUUUCCGCUUGCUUCUCACUAAAUCGCUUCCGACUGCAUUCAAGCAUUUCACAGCAAAAUCAGGAGGAAUCCUCCAUGCUUUACAUUUUCAACAUUUUAGCCUAAACUAAUCGUCUCACCUCUUCAAAUGAUAGACCAGGGCAUACUUUAUAGUUACUAGUAUGCCAAAAAAGAAAAGAGAUGAAAAAACUGCUAUAUAUUCUAAACCAUGGUUCAAUAACAUGAAAAAAAAAUAAAAAGGUAGUUUUCGCUAUGGAAUGGACCGAAUGGUUAUGUAGUUAUACCAGACAUAUUAGGAAAAUUAAACAUUAAAUUGGAAGGUAUUACAUUAGAAAAACAUAGGACUAAAGCUGAAUGCAACAUACCUGAAACGAACUCGCUUCAGAUCUUUGAGUCCUCCAGGUAGCGAGGUAAGAGUGAUAUAAACACCAGGCUCAUCUUGCUCAACCCACUCAUUUUCACUACGAGGAUCACUUUCUUUUGGUCUAUUACCAUUUCUUGUUCCAUCUGUAUGUGCUGGUCUGCUGUGACCCAAACUGCGAUUACUUGCAGUGCCAGACCCAUUAGUAAGCAAUGGGUUGUUUGACUCAUUUGAUUCCAGAUCCAAGGUAUUUGUUUGACCAUUCACUCGAUCAAUAGAAACAAUUGAAACAUCAUUAGGUAUUGAAGGGGGAAUAAGUGGAUUGAAGGGCGGAGAUUUGGUGCUUCUGGUAGAACCCACAGGAAGUCUUUCAGCCAUUUCCUUCAGCUGCACAAUAGAAAACAUCAUCAAGCUCCUAUGAAUUAUUUUUUAGUCAGACAUGACCAUUUAUAUCAAUGAGAACUUCAAAGAUUAUUUCAGAAGAGUUCAAGAACUGGACUUUCAUCCACAUCUGGCAGGAUUAUACAACUAAAAGAAACUUUGUGAACGAGAUUCCCAAAGCUAUUGAAGGAACAAGAAAAAGCCAAUUAAUUAGCUCCAGCACUAGACAGCAAACAAAUAUCUUAACAGUGAUGGGCAACAUCAAGAAUCUCUACAAGGUAAGAAUAUUUCUACUAGCAGUUGAUUCUUCCAGGUAGUUCAACAUCAUAAAAGUGUGAGGGCCGAAAUUAAAAAGGAAGAAUGUAAAAAAAGUGAAGUACUAGCUAAGGUGUUCUUGGAUAUGUGGGCUUCAGAUAUGUGAAAGCAAAUAUAUAUAUAUAUAUAUAUAUAUAUAUAUAUAUAUAUAUAUAUAUAUAUAAGGAUUUUGAAGCAUAUUUGGUCAAGAGAUAUUCGGAUAAUUCGGACGAAUCUCAGAAUUUUGAGAAGGGUCAUCAGAAUUUUGGGAAGAAAAAAUUAAAUUUUGCGAAACAGAAUUUGAUCCAUAGGGGAUCAAACCAUUUUUAAAAUCCACACAUGAUAAAUAUAAGUGAUGAGGAGUAAACUCUGCAUCAAUGUUGUGCAAUUAACAUGACUGAAAUAUUUCUUUUAUAUUAUUAUCAUUGACACAAUUAUUAUUAUUAUUUCAAAUAUUUUGUGCAGCGCUGACUUGACAGGGCUGACCUUAUCAAUCGGAAAUUAUCUUGGCAGCUCAACGACUCAGCUCCAAGCUCAAGACUCAUGUAAUAAAGGCUUAGGCCAAUUAUUUAAAUUAAUGGGCCUUAGAGGAGAAAUGGGCAAAGCUCACUUAAUAGCAUAUAAAUAGGGUUAUUUCAUUUUUACUCACAAGUUAGAAAAGUUAGUCAUUCUUCCAUUUCUCAAUUCAUUUUCUCACCAUGUAAAAUGUAAACACUCUCCAAAAAUAUAGUGAAACACCCAAAACUCCACCCGUGGAUGUAGAUCUUAUGAUCAAACCACGUAAAUUCUUGUGUCGUUUAUCGUUUUAUAGUUAGGUGUUGAUUUUGAAUUCAUCAACUGGCGCCGUCUGUGGAAAAAUAGAGCUAAGGCGUGAGAUUAAUCAGUUUUUCGGUUACUGUUCAUCGAAAAAGAAAAUCAUUUUCUAGCGAUUUCUUUUUCAGUUUCCGGCGACAGGGGCCGAUCCAUCUCAAUCUCAGUUUUCUCUCCAAAAAUGGUCGUGCUCUCUCCUGCAUCCAUCGAUCUAUCAUUAUUAACCAAUUUUAAUAUUCUUCUUAAUUCUCGUGUCCAAAAAUUUUGGAACAAUAAUAAUGAAACAGAUAAAGUACUUUUUUAUUAAAAAAUAUUCGAUAUGAAUUUCUUAUACGGGCUAAAAUAAUAUUCUCUCCCAAAAGAACAUUGUUUCGCCAUGUGCUUCUUAAAAACAAUAAAAUUUAGUUUACGUUAAUUUAAUUUUAUCUUUUAUAUUUUUGUUAGAUGUCAUUUUUGUGCAUUUAUUUAUAUAUUUAUUUUUAUUAUAAUAUAUCUAUAUAUUAUAUGAAAAUACAAUUUAACAGUAACUUUUUUCCAUCAGAUUCUCUUUUUUGUACUUUUUUUUUUCUUUCUAUUUUGUUGAUUUAAUGCUAAAAAGCAUCAAAUUCAAUUCAUGAAAAAAAUAUUCAGUAUGUAUAUUAAACUUAAGUUCAUGAUAAAAUCUUUAAUUUAAUGUAAACAUUAUAAAAAUUAAAUUUAAAACGAAUAAGUUAUGAUCGUUUAAAAUUAAAAAAUUAUUUUUUCUAUCUCACCAACUCGAAUAGUCAAGCAUUAGUUUACAAUACCCUAAGUCGAGCGAACAUUAUUGCAUGUUGCUCGACCUCAAAUGCUCUAACUGUGAGUCAAUCGAGCAUUAGUGUGAAAUAUACUAAUGUGUGACCUCAAUUGCUCGAAAUUAAAUGAGUCGAGUGAGCAUUGAUGUAAAAUACAUAAAUACUCGAAUUCAAAUGCACAAUCGUGCUUCUAUGUUUUGAGUGAUGAAGAACGCGCUUUAGAUCUUGAAAUGCCGCCACCACAGUCAUUCCACCACCACCACCACCUGCUUUCUACGUCGAGGGAGGGUAGAUUCAACUGCAAGAGAGAGAAUGACAGAGAUGGCAGUGGAUCUACGGCGUGGGCGUGAGGUGGUGAUGGAACUACAACAUGCAUUGUCUAAGGAACGGCGAGAGAGAUUUGUAGUGGCUGAUCUAAUUUGCAGAGAGAGAGAGGAGGGGGGUAUGGCUAGGUAGGUUUAUUUUUUUUUUUUUGUUAUUGUUAUUUAUUUAUUUUAUUUUCAAUUUUAUUAAGCAUGCUAAAUUAAAAAAAUAUUUGUAUUGAUGGGUAUAGUUUCUUCUUUUUUUUUUUUUAUCAUCUACCAUCAAUCCUUUUAUUUAUUAUCAUGAGUGAAACAUAAUAUAAUAAGGUAUCUAGAUUUCGACAAAUGCUGUGACGCAAAUUAACAAAGUAACACAUGAUGAAAAUACAAAUUAAAGAAACAAUGUAAGCAAGUUAGAUAAAAAAGAAAAGAAAAAGCAGUAGAGAAUGAAUUUGGUUUAUAGAAUAUACAUGGAAGGUGCUCACAACUAGAGCCACCACCCCACCCUAUGAAGAAUUUACAUUUCUCACCCUCAAACGUCAAACCCCACGCAACGCUCUUCUGGGGAAAAAAAAUGAUAAACCACUGUCAACCAUCAACAAGAAUAUUAGAAGAGGUUAAACAACCCAAAAAAACAUUAGAAACCUUUCCUCCCCAACCCUCCAACCAUCACUAAUAACUCUUCAGAGACGUGAGGGGAGAACCGACACCCCCCCCCCCC